This 218-nucleotide unclassified non-coding RNA is filed under the name uncultured Mycena. RNAcentral describes it as "sequence contains ITS2". The record is from RNAcentral. Lineage: Eukaryota; Fungi; Basidiomycota; Agaricomycetes; Agaricales; Tricholomataceae.
AAUUAUCAACCUUGCUCGCUUUUACCGGCUUGAGCUGAGGCUUUGGACGUGGGGGUUUUUGCUGGCUUCCUUCAGUGGAUGGUCUGCUCCCCUUAAAUUCAUUAGCGGGAUCUCUUGUGGACCGUCACUUGGUGUGAUAAUUAUCUAUGCCGUUUGACUUUGAAGCAAAUUUAUGGGACUCUGCUUAUAACCGUCUCUUAUGGGACAAUUUAAUAACA